Molecule: ribosomal RNA, 274 nt
Filed under: uncultured bacterium
Lineage: Bacteria
Description: partial 16S ribosomal RNA
Rfam family: Bacterial small subunit ribosomal RNA
Source: RNAcentral
AGACGGGGGGUGCUAGCGUUGUUCGGAAUUACUGGGCGUAAAGGGCGCGUAGGCGGCUCUGCGAGUCGGGCGUGAAAUCCCGGGGCUCAACCCCGGAACGUCGCUCGAUACUGCGGGGCUGGAGACCGGAAGAGGAGGGUGGAAUUCCCAGUGUAGAGGUGAAAUUCGUAGAUAUUGGGAGGAACACCGGUGGCGAAAGCGGCUCUCUGGUCCGGUUCUGACGCUGAGGCGCGAAAGCGUGGGGAGCAAACAGGAGUAGAAACCCUAGUAGUCC